AAAAUUUUAAAGGUCGAACAGACCUAAUAUUCCAGCUUCUGCACCAGAACUUAAUUUUAAUCCAACAUCGAGGUCGCAAACUCUUCUUUCAAUAUGAACUCUCCAGAAAAAUUACGCUGUUAUCCCUAAGGUAAUUUUUUCUUUUAAUCGCAAAAAACGGAUCAACAAUUCAUAAAUAAAUGUAACAAAAUAAAAAAGUUUAAUUAAUUUUUUAAUCGCCCCAACCAAAUAAAUAAACCAAUUAACAUUUAAAAUACCAAAAACCACAAACUAAUUUAAAUAUAAAACUCUAUAGGGUCUUCUCGUCUUUUAAUAACAUUUAAGCUUUCUUACUUAAAAAUAAAAUUCUAAUAACUAAGAAAGAGACAGUAAUUUUUUCAUUCAACCAUUCAUUCCAGCUUCUAAUUAAGAAACUAAUUAUUAUGCUACCUUUGCACGGUCAAAAUACCGCGGCCAUUUAAAAUUCAUAGGGCAGGCUAGACCUUAAAUCAUAAGCAAAAGGAC
RNAcentral lists this ribosomal RNA (504 nucleotides) under Chlorophorus diadema. Its description in RNAcentral is "partial 16S ribosomal RNA". The record is from RNAcentral. Lineage: Eukaryota; Metazoa; Arthropoda; Insecta; Coleoptera; Cerambycidae.